GACGAACGCUGGCGGCGUGCUUAACACAUGCAAGUCGAACGGAAAGGCCCUGCUUUUGUGGGGUGCUCGAGUGGCGAACGGGUGAGUAACACGUGAGUAACCUGCCCUUGACUUUGGGAUAACUUCAGGAAACUGGGGCUAAUACCGGAUAGGAGCUCCUGCUGCAUGGUGGGGGUUGGAAAGUUUCGGCGGUUGGGGAUGGACUCGCGGCUUAUCAGCUUGUUGGUGGGGUAGUGGCUUACCAAGGCUUUGACGGGUAGCCGGCCUGAGAGGGUGACCGGCCACAUUGGGACUGAGGUACGGCCCAGACUCCUACGUGAGGCAGCAGUGGGGAGUAUUGCACAAUGGGCGGAAGCCUGAUGCAGCAACGCCGCGUGCGGGAUGACGGCCUUCGGGUUGUAAACCGCUUUCGCCUGUGACGAAGCGUGAGUGACGGUAAUGGGUAAAGAAGCACCGGCUAACUACGUG
RNAcentral lists this ribosomal RNA (468 nucleotides) under uncultured bacterium. Its description in RNAcentral is "partial 16S ribosomal RNA". It matches the Rfam family "Bacterial small subunit ribosomal RNA", at positions 28 to 507 of the family's 1533-position model. The record is from RNAcentral.